GCCCCUGUAGCUCAGAUGAUAGAGCACCGGUUUCCUAAACCGGGUGCCGGAUGUUCGAGUGAUCUCAGGGGCGCCA
This 76-nucleotide transfer RNA is filed under the name Chloroflexota bacterium. RNAcentral's name for it is "tRNA-Arg". It matches the Rfam family "tRNA". Rfam says of the family: Transfer RNA (tRNA) molecules are approximately 80 nucleotides in length. Their secondary structure includes four short double-helical elements and three loops (D, anti-codon, and T loops). Further hydrogen bonds mediate the characteristic L-shaped molecular structure. tRNAs have two regions of fundamental functional importance: the anti-codon, which is responsible for specific mRNA codon recognition, and the 3' end, to which the tRNAs corresponding amino acid is attached (by aminoacyl-tRNA synthetases). tRNAs cope with the degeneracy of the genetic code in two manners: having more than one tRNA (with a specific anti-codon) for a particular amino acid; and 'wobble' base-pairing, i.e. permitting non-standard base-pairing at the 3rd anti-codon position. The record is from RNAcentral. Lineage: Bacteria; Bacillati; Chloroflexota.